AUCUAUGGCCAUGCCACCCUGAACACGCCUGAUCUCAUCCGAUCUCAGAAGCUAAGCAGGGAUGGGCGACCACCUAGGAAAACUGGGUGCUGUAGGCA
RNAcentral lists this ribosomal RNA (98 nucleotides) under Pteropus alecto (black flying fox). Lineage: Eukaryota; Metazoa; Chordata; Mammalia; Chiroptera; Pteropodidae. The record is from RNAcentral.